GAUGAACGCUGGCGGCGUGCCUAAUACAUGCCAGUCGAGCGAACGGACGAGAAGCUUGCUUCUCUGAUGUUAGCGGCGGACGGGUGAGUAACACGUGGAUAACCUACCUAUAAGACUGGGAUAACUUCGGGAAACCGUAGCUAAUACCGGAUAAUAUUUUGAACCGCAUGGUUCAAAAGUGAAAGACGGUCUUGCUGUCACUUAUAGAUGGAUCCGCGCUGCAUUAGCUAGUUGGUAAGGUAACGGCUUACCAAGGCAACGAUGCAUAGCCGACCUGAGAGGUUGAUCGGCCACACUGGAACUGAGACACGGUCCAGACUCCUACGGGAGGCAGCAGUAGGGAAUCUUCCGCAAUGGGCGAAAGCCUGACGGAGCAACGCCGCGUGAGUGAUGAAGGUCUUCGGAUCGUAAAACUCUGUUAUUAGGGAAGAACAUAUGUGUAAGUAACUGUGCACAUCUUGACGGUACCUAAUCAGAAAGCCACGGCUAACUACGUG
This 497-nucleotide ribosomal RNA is filed under the name uncultured bacterium. RNAcentral's name for it is "partial 16S ribosomal RNA". It matches the Rfam family "Bacterial small subunit ribosomal RNA", at positions 28 to 507 of the family's 1533-position model. The record is from RNAcentral.